AGUUCUAGACAGAAAAACAGGCCAAACAAAAUGCUGAUUAAAGGGACUAUAAGGAAGUUUGACAGCCAAAACGUAUAUAAAUAAUAAAUGUCUUCUUCAUACAUUCUUCUGCAAUGCCCUGGUCCUGUAGAAUGAGCCCUGGCAUUUUUACUGUGACUGCCUGUUUUUCUGUAAAAAUCAGAGAAAAAGAGUUGCUCGGGUCGAGCAGGCUGCUUCAUGCGUGUUUAUGCUCAGGCAUAGCCCGUAGCGUUUGCUAUCCGUAGCUUUAGCAGCAGAGAGAGAGGUGGUGCCAACUCAGUGACUUUGUCGCUGUUCCUAACGCCUAGAGACAAACCUAGCUACAUUUCUGAGGACCCUUAACUACUUUCUGUAGAAAUUUCUUCUAGAAAUUUCCUGCAAAUUAGCAACAAAAUAGCCAUUUUCGCUCCGAACCGUUCUUUGGAUUGAUGUUGUUUCAGCUGUCAUCAAAGAUUUAAACGUUAUAGAUAGAAUCAAUUAGAGCUGAAACAUCUAAUCGAUUUAAUCGAUUAUAAUCGAUUAUUAAAAUAGUUAACAAUUUUUUUAGUCAUCGAGUAGUUGUUUAAUAAUCAUAUUUUACCGCAUAAAGUCUAUUUUUACCACAAUCUGACAUCGGUUACAAGCUGUUAAAUUUGCCGCCAGUGUGUGGCAGUAAUGAGCCACUGAUCUACCAGUGGAGCCGUAGAAGAAGAAAUGAGCCAAUGAGUGCCCUCGGUUUUCAUGACGUAUCACGUUACUGACGCUCAUCUUGCUGUGAGAGAUGGCGGAACAAGAGGAAAUACGGAAGAAAAAUAGAAGCGACAAAACUGAAGAGAAACCCCGGACAAAAACCUCACGAGUAUGGGAGCACUUUACUCUAGAUGCCUUGAAAAGACGGGUGACCUGCAAAAUAUGCAAAAAACAUCUAGCAUGGCACGGAAGCACGACGUCCCUAAGUGAACAUUUGAGACGAAAACAUGUGGGGGCUGAUGCAGCAGAGGAAGAGCACCGCGGUCAAGUGAGCCGUCAUUUGGAAGAGCCAGCCCGAAAAAAAACAAGCAACGAUGGACAACUACAUGGGGAACAAGACACUCACCCCCCAGCAAUUCAUACCACUUACAAACUCUAUUCUAAACAUGCUGGUAAAAGACAUGAGGCCACUAUCCAUGGUGGAAGGAGCAGGCUUCCAGCUAAUGCUAAAAAAUUAUUCUGGACUGAUAUUUUGCACUGUUUAGCUCAUUUUAUACUGCUGACUGUGUUCAUGUGCAAUAAAAUAGAUUGCAGUCAACU
This is a non-coding RNA of Nothobranchius furzeri (turquoise killifish), 1287 nucleotides long. The record is from RefSeq and is a predicted model, not a curated record. Lineage: Eukaryota; Metazoa; Chordata; Actinopteri; Cyprinodontiformes; Nothobranchiidae.